GAUGAACGCUGGCGGCGUGCCUAAUACAUGCAAGUAGAACGCUGAAGCUUGGUGCUUGCACCGAGCGGAUGAGUUGCGAACGGGUGAGUAACGCGUAGGUAACCUGCCUCUUAGCGGGGGAUAACUAUUGGAAACGAUAGCUAAUACCGCAUAAAAGUCGAUAUCGCAUGAAGUUGACUUGAAAGGUGCAAUUGCAUCACUAAGAGAUGGACCUGCGUUGUAUUAGCUAGUUGGUGAGGUAACGGCUCACCAAGGCGACGAUACAUAGCCGACCUGAGAGGGUGAUCGGCCACACUGGGACUGAGACACGGCCCAGACUCCUACGGGAGGCAGCAGUAGGGAAUCUUCGGCAAUGGGGGCAACCCUGACCGAGCAACGCCGCGUGAGUGAAGAAGGUUUUCGGAUCGUAAAGCUCUGUUGUAAGAGAAGAACGAGUGUGAGAGUGGAAAGUUCACACUGGACG
Molecule: ribosomal RNA, 463 nt
Filed under: Streptococcus parasanguinis
Lineage: Bacteria; Bacillati; Bacillota; Bacilli; Lactobacillales; Streptococcaceae
Description: bacterial SSU rRNA
Rfam family: Bacterial small subunit ribosomal RNA
Source: RNAcentral